AACGAACGCUGGCGGCAUGCCUAACACAUGCAAGUCGAACGAGACCUUCGGGUCUAGUGGCGCACGGCUGCGGAACGCGGGGGAACCUGCCCUUAGGUUCGGAAUAACUCCCCGUAAGGGGUGCUAAUACCGGAUAAUGUCUUCGGACCAACGAUUUAUCGCCUUUGGAUGGGCCCGCGUUGGUUUAGCUAGUUGGUAGGGUAAAAGCCUACCAAGGCGACGAUCCAUAGCUGGUCGGGGAGGAUGAUCAGCUACACUGGGACUGAGACACGGCCCAGACUCCUACGGGAGGGAGCAGUGGGGAACAUUGGACAAGGGGCGAAAGCCUGAUCAAGCAAUGCCGCGUGAGUGAUGAAGGCCUUAGGGUUGUAAAGCUCUUUUACCCGGGAUGAUAAUGACAGUACCGGGAGAAUAAGCUCCGGCUAACUCCGUG
RNAcentral lists this ribosomal RNA (433 nucleotides) under uncultured bacterium. RNAcentral describes it as "partial 16S ribosomal RNA". It matches the Rfam family "Bacterial small subunit ribosomal RNA", at positions 29 to 507 of the family's 1533-position model. The record is from RNAcentral.